AGAGUUUGAUCCUGGCUCAGAUUGAACGCUGGCGGCAGGCCUAACACAUGCAAGUCGAGCGGAUGAAGAGAGCUUGCUCUCUGAUUCAGCGGCGGACGGGUGAGUAAUGCCUAGGAAUCUGCCUGGUAGUGGGGGACAACGUCUCGAAAGGGACGCUAAUACCGCAUACGUCCUACGGGAGAAAGCAGGGGACCUUCGGGCCUUGCGCUAUCAGAUGAGCCUAGGUCGGAUUAGCUAGUUGGUGAGGUAAUGGCUCACCAAGGCGACGAUCCGUAACUGGUCUGAGAGGAUGAUCAGUCACACUGGAACUGAGACACGGUCCAGACUCCUACGGGAGGCAGCAGUGGGGAAUAUUGGACAAUGGGCGAAAGCCUGAUCCAGCCAUGCCGCGUGUGUGAAGAAGGUCUUCGGAUUGUAAAGCACUUUAAGUUGGGAGGAAGGGCAGUAAGCAAAUACCUUGCUGUUUUGACGUUACCGACAGAAUAAGCACCGGCUAACUCUGUGCCAGCAGCCGCGGUAAUACAGAGGGUGCAAGCGUUAAUCGGAAUUACUGGGCGUAAAGCGCGCGUAGGUGGUUUGUUAAGUUGAAUGUGAAAUCCCCGGGCUCAACCUGGGAACUGCAUCCAAAACUGGCAAGCUAGAGUAGGGCAGAGGGUGGUGGAAUUUCCUGUAGCGGUGAAAUGCGUAGAUAUAGGAAGGAACACCAGUGGCGAAGGCGACCACCUGGGCUCAUACUGACACUGAGGUGCGAAAGCGUGGGGAGCAAACAGGAUUAGAUACCCUAGUAGUCC
RNAcentral lists this ribosomal RNA (791 nucleotides) under uncultured bacterium. RNAcentral describes it as "bacterial SSU rRNA". It matches the Rfam family "Bacterial small subunit ribosomal RNA", at positions 8 to 796 of the family's 1533-position model. The record is from RNAcentral.